Molecule: long non-coding RNA, 1107 nt
Organism: Sycon ciliatum
Lineage: Eukaryota; Metazoa; Porifera; Calcarea; Leucosolenida; Sycettidae
Exons: 3
Source: RefSeq, a predicted model, not a curated record
UGGUCUCUGAGAAUCGGAAUCGGAGUGAUUUGGGGAGAGAGCUUCUAUCCGUCGUGUCUCAGUACCUUUCUGCAAGCUCCCGACGGCACACGAGGCCAAGCAGAUGUCUCCAUGUGGGAUGGACGACUCAUGACCAAUAUUCUGUGCCACAAGUUUCAGGAACGUUGUGUAGAUCUACCCAUGGCCAGUGCAUAUCGAUUCUCUGAGCUAUACCAGGACCUGCAGAAGCCAGCAACCAAGGGCUGCUCCCGUAGCUGCACAACUCCACAAAAUAUUCAUCAAACUUGGCAAAGGACAACACCCAAGCCAAGGUGAUGGAAAUGAAGGUUUAAAGCCGACUGCGAAAGCCAUCCGUGUCUUAUUCACACCAUGGCAGGCUGCACUCCGCAAUGUCUGUUCUGUUAGCUAUGUCACAAUGCAGUGCACAGGGAUUGCUGGCUCACGGACAUCGGGCAGGCCGCAGCUCAAGAUACUCUCACGUGCCGUACGCCUGCCAUGAAGAAUAUGUCAAUAUCGUGCGGCCCAUGGCAUCAUAAUAAGAAUAUUGCAAUGAUGAGCAUGCAUAUGGGAUAUUAUUUUAUUUUUGAGUACCGUAAAGUACGAAGUAGUGUACCGUAAAGUCUUGUAUAAAAGCCGCACUUGAAAAGAAGCCGCCCUCGAAUAGAAGCCGCAAUUUUGGGCCCAUCAAAUCACACAAAUUGCCUGGUUUUAGUGUUGACAUACAUAGAAAUACCUGUCUCAUAUAGAAGCCUGCAAAAUUUCACCAAGAAAAUCAUAGAAGCCGCGGCUUUUAUACAAAACUUUAUGGUAUAUGCAGUGCUGCCAAGUAUUUUUCGCCCAAAAUCGGACACCCUUCACCGCCAAGGCUGGCCACAUGGUGCGAAUUUUUCUCCUCAGAAUUUUUUUUCCAGAGAAUUCAAAAUAUCGCUCAAAAUACCAUGAAAAUUCGCUUUGUUGCCUUAGUAACCGAUAUGGCACCCCUAAGUUGCCAUGCAUUUUGUAAUGCACUGUGCCAUCCAGGCAUUUUACUUUAGCGCUAGCCUUUUUAUACGCUCAUGUACAUUGAUUUGUGCCUUUAGUUGCGCUGAAAAGUAAAAAUACAGGAUU